AUGACUAGGCGCGUUUGUGAGAGCAGCGAGCAGUUCCGUUUAAUCCGUUGGAGUGUACAGUUGUACAUUGCUCUUUUUCUCUCUUGAGUCUCAGAUCAACACGGCCCUGCCCUCCAGCACUAUCAGCAGCAGCAUUGUACCCAUCAGGUACCUACCUUCCUGCCAGACGGAGAAAAGAUCUGUAAAACGGGUUCCUCAUCUCAGAGCAAGUGUGUUUGAUAACCUGUCAUACCCGACUGCUGGAACGAUGGCGAGCAGAAGUGAAGUGCCAAGAGACACUGAGGUGCUGAUUUUCUCCUAUAAUCAAAUUUGUAUUUGCCUUGGUUAGUAUAAACCAUCACAGAUGCAAGUAAAAGUGGCAACAGGUGCACUGUUGUGUGAUCAUGUAUAAGUUGUAUAGUUUUAAUGUUUUAUUUGGAAAUAGAA
Molecule: non-coding RNA, 426 nt
Organism: Maylandia zebra (zebra mbuna)
Lineage: Eukaryota; Metazoa; Chordata; Actinopteri; Cichliformes; Cichlidae
Source: RefSeq, a predicted model, not a curated record